UGGGGAAUUUUCCGCAAUGGGCGAAAGCCUGACGGAGCAAUACCGCGUGAGGGAUGACGGCCUAUGGGUUGUAAACCUCUUUUUUCAGGGAGGAACAAAAUGACGUGUACCUGAAGAAUAAGCAUCGGCUAACUCCGUGCCAGCAGCCGCGGUAAGACGGAGGAUGCAAGUGUUAUCCGGAAUCACUGGGCGUAAAGCGUCUGUAGGUGGUUUAAUAAGUCAACUGUUAAAUCUUGAGGCUCAACCUCGAAAUCGCAGUCGAAACUAUUAGACUAGAGUAUAGUAGGGGUAAAGGGAAUUUCCAGUGGAGCGGUGAAAUGCGUARAGAUUGGAAAGAACACCGAUGGCGAAGGCACUUUACUGGGCUAUUACUAACACUCAGAGACGAAAGCUAGGGUAGCAAAUGGGAUUAGAUACCCCAGUAGUCCUAGCUGUAAACAAUGGAUACUAGAUGUUGGACAGAUCGACCUGUGCAGUAUCAAAGCUAACGCGUUAAGUAUCCCGCCUGGGAAGUAUGCUCGCAAGAGUGAAACUC
This 535-nucleotide ribosomal RNA is filed under the name uncultured vent bacterium ML-2c. RNAcentral describes it as "bacterial SSU rRNA". It matches the Rfam family "Bacterial small subunit ribosomal RNA", at positions 355 to 902 of the family's 1533-position model. The record is from RNAcentral.